This is a non-coding RNA of Mycena rebaudengoi, 98 nucleotides long. Lineage: Eukaryota; Fungi; Basidiomycota; Agaricomycetes; Agaricales; Mycenaceae. The record is from the annotation of a GenBank genome assembly.
GAUCUAAUAGCGAAAUUGGAAUCGCGUCCACUGCACUUGGGCCAGAACAAGCACAUGAAUCAAAGUGGAAGUCCCUCGUUCGACCCGAGGUUAGGUCC